Molecule: long non-coding RNA, 484 nt
Filed under: Heterocephalus glaber (naked mole-rat)
Lineage: Eukaryota; Metazoa; Chordata; Mammalia; Rodentia; Bathyergidae
Description: lncRNA (ENSHGLG00000040542.1)
Source: RNAcentral
GGAGACACUGAACCCAAGGGGAGGAGGGCAAGAAGAAAAGAAAACAAUUUGGUCUCUUCUGGGGAGAAGUUACACAGAGUGUCCUGAAAACAGAGACCUUUUAUCUAGUCAAGAUAGGAUUUGAGAGUGGAAAUAUGAAGGUGUUGUAGGAGGGAAAGUGUGUCUUGGUGACAAGUUUCUGAAGAAGAGCUGCAGAGGAGGAGAUUGUCUACAUACUGUAUGAGAUGAGAGGAAGAUGGGUGAAAGAAGAGUAAAUCAUCCCCAAGGACCUAACCAGAACAGUGGGGACUGUCCCAAAAGCCCUGAGAGCUCUAUGUGUCAGAAGCAAGUGGCCAAGUCAAUCCCCAUUUCAAGGAGGAAAGAAUGAAGCCUCUUCCCAGAGGGCAGAGCAUCAAAGAAUUGACACCCAGAUGUUAGAACCACCACAGCAACGACCGCACAUUUGUGGGAGAUGCCUUGAUGUUACACAGAUAUCCCGCUUCAU